CGUGUGCUGCGGGAGGGCCUCACUGUGUUGCUGGGAUGGCGACAGGGAGGCACCGAAGACGAGCCGGUGCUCGCCUGCCCUGGCUGCUGCUGAUGGCAGUCCGACCGGAACUGCUAGCAACCACGCCAUCAAGGUUGUACUGCCGGCCACCACUCCGAGAUGGUACUUCCUUAUGAGGUCAUAAUGACAAGGUUGGAUUUCCAGUACGUGAAGACCAGCCUUCAAAGAUGGUCUAAUGGAUGAAAAAGACCCAGCUAUAUGUUGUUGCACAAGUGGAAGCUCUCUCUUUCCCGUAAUGUCCUGUGCUCCAAGUGCAAGGGAAACGAUACAAGUAUGCAUUGCAAGAGACAAGCAUGCAAUAAUGCAGCCACUAAUUUCAAGUGGUGGCAAAAGGAGGGGAGAUAAAGAGGAAGAUGUCUCCUUUUAUGCCCUGAUUGCAGUGGCGUUGGGCGGUUCUGGCAGCCGGAGAUUCCUCUGCUAGCAUGGUCGCCACCCAGAGUAGGAUAGCAGGAGUAACUAAUGUUGCUGCACCUCUAAUUCGAGCAGGAUGGCGGGAAGGUUUUCCCUUUGUCAGGGUACACUCGGUGAGGCCAUCAAGGACGACAAGGUGACCAUGUUCGUGAAGGUGGACGACUGGAAGUUGUCCACUGGGACCCUGCCGACAAGUUCACCCAGUUCCUUUUCGACCUGGUCUUCGAGGAGUUCGAACUCUCGCACACCAAUAAGUCCUCUAGUGUCUUCUAAUCUGGGUACAAGGUCUUCCACACGAUCGACCAACAGAGAUGAGAUGGACUUGAAUCUGAAGAAGAAAUCUGAAGAUGAGGAAGAGAAGAUUGUUCCAGACACCAAGGUGAAUGGUAAUUGGGUCACAGCCUCACAACAAAUGAGCAUUGCAGAAACUUCUUCUGUUUUGUUCUAAUAGGUUUUACUUAUAUAUCGCUGGAUAAGAAGAUGGACGACACUUUGGCCUUGGAGUAAAGAUAAGGGAAGGACAUGCAGGGGAUACCAUGGGAGAAGUCAAACUACAGUAGGCAUCAGUACCUUCAGAUGAGUCUAAAAUGGUACAAGAUCUAUGUGAGCCUCGCUAGGCUGCGAGAAUGGAAAAGGACAACGACGAGCUUGUUCUAGAUGCUUGAAGCCUGGCGGCAGCCAAGGGAGUGCAGUACCUGUUCGUGGUGGGCAAGAGAUCCUUACCAUGAAAGUGGCUUGUGGAUAACGUGCUGAUUGACCAAGUCGUCUGGGAGGAGUAGCAGCUCGAGGGCGGCGACCCUUGUCGCGACAAUCGUGGCAGAGAGGUGCGAGUGGAGCACACUCUGCUGUUGCUAGACACAGGUGGCUAGCCUA
Lolium rigidum is the source of this 1344-nucleotide long non-coding RNA. RefSeq lists it as uncharacterized. Lineage: Eukaryota; Viridiplantae; Streptophyta; Magnoliopsida; Poales; Poaceae. The transcript has 8 exons. The record is from RefSeq and is a predicted model, not a curated record.